AGUGAACGCUGGCGGUAGGCCUAACACAUGCAAGUCGAACGGCAGCACAGUAAGAGCUUGCUCUUACGGGUGGCGAGUGGCGGACGGGUGAGGAAUACAUCGGAAUCUACUUUUUCGUGGGGGAUAACGUAGGGAAACUUACGCUAAUACCGCAUACGACCUACGGGUGAAAGCAGGGGAUCUUCGGACCUUGCGCGAUUGAAUGAGCCGAUGUCGGAUUAGCUAGUUGGCGGGGUAAAGGCCCACCAAGGCGACGAUCCGUAGCUGGUCUGAGAGGAUGAUCGGCCACACUGGAACUGAGACACGGUCCAGACUCCUACGGGAGGCAGCAGUGGGGAAUAUUGGGCAAUGGGCGCAAGCCUGAUCCAGCCAUACCGCGUGGGUGAAGAAGGCCUUCGGGUUGUAAAGCCCUUUUGUUGGGAAAGAAAAGCAGCAGGUUAAUACCACGCUGUUCUGACGGUACCCAAAGAAUAAGCACCGGCUAACUUCGUG
RNAcentral lists this ribosomal RNA (492 nucleotides) under uncultured bacterium. RNAcentral's name for it is "partial 16S ribosomal RNA". It matches the Rfam family "Bacterial small subunit ribosomal RNA", at positions 29 to 507 of the family's 1533-position model. The record is from RNAcentral.